CUGCAGGUACAAAGCUACCCAGGUCGUCGUACCAGAGCAUAAAGAAUGAUGGAAGGGUAUUUUCGACUUUUAGCAUAGGUAGCAUGUGUUGCGCGGUGGGCUGGCGGUUGGCUCCCCUCUGAUCUGAUCGAUGGCAGCGGGUGGGGAGGUGGUGGCGGACGCGGUGGUCCCGACCGAUGGAAGCGACGUGGUGGCAGUUCCCGGCCGGCGUCGGCGGUGGUGGAUCCAUGCGAGAUGUUCCUGGCCAGCGGCGGCGGUGGCGGAUCCGUGCGAGGCGGUUCCCGGCCGGCGUCGGCGGCGGUGGUUCCGUGCGAGAUGGUUCCCGGCCGGCGACGGCGGCGGUGGAUCCGUGCGAGAUGGUUCUCAGCCAGCGGUGGCAGAUCUGAGCGAGACAGUUCUUGGCCGGCGGAAGUGUUUUGAUGUGGUGGUGUUCGCAGCGGCCAGGCGGAGCAGAUCGAGUGGAAUAAGAUCCAGACCCCGACCAAUGUGGUGGUGGUUCCAUACGACACACUCUCACCGGCUCCCGAAGAUCUCAGCGAGACGAAGAAGCUGCUCAACAAGCUUGUCCUGCUCAAGCUCAAUGGAGGGCUUGGGACGACCAUGGGCUGCACUGGUCCCAAGACGAUGAGCAAUGUGACAUCCAAGAAUACAAAAGGCGGUCGAGCAACUUUGGCACACCCUGGAACAUGCAAAACCAGGUAGGAGUAGUUCAGAUUGAACCCUAUGUUGAAAAAAAAAACAAAGGCAGAAGAAGAGGGGAUGAAGCUAGAGCUGGAAAUGGCCGACCGUCUGUCCGAUAUGGAAAUCUCAUUCAAGAAGUUGGCCAAGCAGAAAAAAAUAACGAUAUCACAAAUUGGUUCAUAGCAUCAGUAGUUAUAGCUGUGUUUCUUCUCAUGAAAAUUUUAGAUAACAUGUAAUAUGAUAGCCGUUGUUGAUGUCCUGCAAGUCUUUUAGUUGUGGUAAUGGAAAAUCCCUUUGUAUUUUGUCAUCUCGUAUGCCCUAGCAGAAAUGGAUUUUCAGCCCUUUUUAACUGGCCAUUGUUCAUGUCGGUUGAUGUGUACCACCUGGAUAAUCUGUCCCAUUAUUGGAAAUUAUCACAGACGUUUCACA
Molecule: long non-coding RNA, 1110 nt
Organism: Oryza brachyantha (malo sina)
Lineage: Eukaryota; Viridiplantae; Streptophyta; Magnoliopsida; Poales; Poaceae
Exons: 3
Source: RefSeq, a predicted model, not a curated record